CCUACGGGAGGCAGCAGUAAGGAAUCUUCCGCAAUGGGCGAAAGCCUGACGGAGCAACGCCGCGUGGGCGAUGAAGGCCUUCGGGUCGUAAAGCCCUUUUCUGUGGGACGAUAAUGACGGUACCACAGGAAUAAGCCACGGCUAACUACGUGCCAGCAGCCGCGGUAAUACGUAGGUGGCUAGCGUUAUCCGGAUUCACUGGGCGUAAAGAGCGCGUAGGCGGUGUGCUAAGUUGGACGUGAAAGCUUCCGGCCCAACCGGGAGAGGUCGUACGAUACUGCCUGUCUUGAGGGUCGGAGAGGGACGUGAAAUUCCCGGUGUAGCGGUAAAAUGCGUAGAGAUCGGGAGGAACACCAGUGGCGAGGGCGGCGCCCGGGCCGACACCUGACGCUGAAGCGCGAAAGCGUGGGGAGCGAACGGGAUUAGAUCCCCAAGUAGU
Molecule: ribosomal RNA, 439 nt
Filed under: uncultured bacterium
Lineage: Bacteria
Description: partial 16S ribosomal RNA
Rfam family: Bacterial small subunit ribosomal RNA
Source: RNAcentral